Molecule: ribosomal RNA, 468 nt
Filed under: uncultured bacterium
Lineage: Bacteria
Description: partial 16S ribosomal RNA
Rfam family: Bacterial small subunit ribosomal RNA
Source: RNAcentral
GACGAACGCUGGCGGCGUGCUUAACACAUGCAAGUCGAACGGAAAGGCCCUGCUUUUGUGGGGUGCUCGAGUGGCGAACGGGUGAGUAACACGUGAGUAACCUGCCCUUGACUUUGGGAUAACUUCAGGAAACUGGGGCUAAUACCGGAUAGGAGCUCCUGCUGCAUGGUGGGGGUUGGAAAGUUUCGGCGGUUUGGGAUGGACUCGCGGCUUAUCAGCUUGUUGGUGGGGUAGUGGCUUACCAAGGCCUUGACGGGUAGCCGGCCUGAGAGGGUGACCGGCCACAUUGGGACUGAGAUACGGCCCAGACUCCUACGGGAGGCAGCAGUGGGGAAUAUUGCACAAUGGGCGGAAGCCUGAUGCAGCAACGCCGCGUGCGGGAUGACGGCCUUCGGGUUGUAAACCGCUUUCGCCUGUGACGAAGCGUGAGUGACGGUAAUGGGUAAAGAAGCACCGGCUAACUACGUG